CGUAGGGGGCUAGGCGUUGUCCGGAAUCAUUGGGCGUAAAGAGCGUGUAGGCGGCCCGGUAAGACCCGCUGUGAAAUCGGGGGCUCAACCCUCGAAUGCCGGUGGAUACUGUCGGGCUAGAGUGCGGAAGAGGCGAGUGGAAUUCCUGGUGUAGCGGUGAAAUGCGCAGAUAUCAGGAGGAACACCGAUUGCGAAGGCAGCUCGCUGGGACGUAACUGACGCUGAGACGCGAAAGCGUGGGGAGCAAACAGGAUUAGAUACCCUGGUAGUCCACGCUGUAAACGAUGGGCACUAGGUGUGGGGGGUGUCGACUCCCUCCGUGCCGAAGCUAACGCAUUAAGUGCCCCGCCUGGGGAGUACGGCCGCAAGGCUA
This 373-nucleotide ribosomal RNA is filed under the name uncultured organism. RNAcentral describes it as "bacterial SSU rRNA". It matches the Rfam family "Bacterial small subunit ribosomal RNA", at positions 526 to 896 of the family's 1533-position model. The record is from RNAcentral.